AAAUGUGCACACACGCACACACACGAUAAAUAAACUAAUCUAAAAUUAAAAUUACAAGCUAUCAUCAACAUCAAAACAAGGUAAAACAAUCAAAAGCUUGAGAUGACUUCAGUGGGUCCUCAGGGUCUCGUGUAAGUCCACCCUCUGUUGUCUCUUGUCUGUGCCUCUCCCAGUUGUUUCUGUGAGGGAAAAAUGAUUGUGUUAUACAUUUAAAUGAAAUAAAACCCAAGGCCACAACAAUCAGAAAGGAUCCUUCCCUGUUCUCACAUUGGGUUCUCACGCAUGCCCUGUACGAUGGGGCUGCCGUGGAGCGGUCUUGCAUCUGGUGUUAGAUGUGGGCAGCAGAGCUGAAGUGUGGUGUCCCUCUCAGAGGCGGGUCUUAGGGUGAAGAGCCUGAGGAGUCUCCAUGUCUUCGGUUUCCCUGUGCCGGUAACGAAGUGUCUAAAUGGUAACGAUCCAAAGGCUUGUAUCCUCUGUUAUAAUUUUCAUCCUCCUGGAAAUCUUUGUUCUUUAUGAAUUAACUUGGUUUUUUUUGACCAGUAUCUUUUUCUGCAGAGAGAAUAAAUGUUCUUGGGGGCUUUAGUAGGUCAGGAGUUAAAGGAUCCCAUUUAUUACAGAGUUGGUUGUGAUUCUAACAUAAUUUAAAAAGUAUAAGACUCAGGUUGGCUCUACUCUGUUCAUAAAGAUAUAUGACUUAGAUAUGAUUGGUUUAAAAAUAAUCAACUUGGUAAAAUCUCUAUUCUUUGGUUAACAUAGAACUGUUACCUGCUGUUUGCUUUCUGAAAGUUUCCAAAAUCAGAGUCGGCGUUUCUGGGCAGGCUUGGCUCCUCGUGCUGUGCUCCCCCGAAUCUGCAUGGUAUGGUGGACAUUCUGCACCCCACUAGGAAGCGGCCUUUGUGGCAGAACAUUUGGCAGGAAAGCUGUAGAGACAGGUGCAUUCAGAGCAGCCUGGGCACCACCGUGAGGCUUACCGCGUGUCAGAAGGCUGGAAGCACUUGCUGGGAGCCAAAUAUAUUACUCCACUGGAAAAGCCCUCUAGUGCUCUAAGCCUCUUGGUCUCCUCUUCUUAGAUUUGGGUUUUUAUUUCCCUUCCUGUCCCCAUGAAAGAUGAUGAAAGCCACCAUGGAUCCUCGCUGCCGAGUGGUGGGAGGGUUAGCGCCCCCCACCUCUACCCCCAGUCACUGCUCCUCUGUGAUCUUAGAGGCACAGCUGCAAGUCUCUAGGCUGUUAGCGUAGCGCUCUGUUCCUGGUGCAGCUGGAAGCAGGUGGACUCCAGGAGAGAAGCUAGAUCUUAGAAGGAGCACUCCUUUGAGGCCAGAGGCCAGACCAGCACUUGGAGGAAGUCCUGAGUGGACUGGAGGAGUCUUCAUUGGUUGCCCAAGGCUGUAAGUAGCAGAGGCCUCUGCAUGGUAUGAGCUCUUACGAAGCGUUAUGUAGGACUGCUGCCUCCCCAAGGUGAGAAGUUGAUUUUUAACUCGGAUCAACCCACAGGAGUACCUUUGUAUUGGCAAUAUUGAAACACAUUUAGAAAGGUUCCUGGCUGAGAUUGGCUCUAGAACUUGCUGUCGUUUGUAAUUUACUGUUUUCUUAUUGAUUGUGGUACCUCUGACUUUUCUUCUCUAGUAUGAUUCCUUCAGCAUACAAGUUACUCUUACACACAUACGGAAGUGGCUUUUUAGCCAUAUCCUCCUUAGGGUAGAGACUAUUUACCAAAUGUGAAUUCUUCUAAGUGUGAAGUUAUGUAGAAAUUGACUGUGAAAUGUCAAAGAAAAAAAUAAAAGUCACUUACU
This 1790-nucleotide long non-coding RNA is filed under the name Mus musculus (house mouse). Its description in RNAcentral is "long non-coding RNA chr12:86963565-86965355". Lineage: Eukaryota; Metazoa; Chordata; Mammalia; Rodentia; Muridae. The record is from RNAcentral.